Molecule: ribosomal RNA, 200 nt
Filed under: uncultured organism
Description: partial small subunit ribosomal RNA
Rfam family: Bacterial small subunit ribosomal RNA
Source: RNAcentral
ACGUCAAAUCAUCAUGCCCCUUAUGUCCUGGGCUACACACGUGCUACAAUGGCCGUCACAGAGCGAACCGAACCCGUGAGGGGGAGGCAAUCGCGAAAGGCGGUCCCAGUUCGGAUCGCAGGCUGCAACUCGCCUGCGUGAAGUCGGAGUUGCUAGUAAUCGCGGAUCAGCAUGCCGCGGUGAAUACGUUCCCGGGCCUU